GAUCCACACCCGACACCUUUUCCUCACGCCGAGUCUUCUUCCCCUGCCGAUUUCUCAUCUGCCCUAACCGCACACGAGCGAUUUCUACUCCCCUUUUUCCUUCUUCUUCCCGCAGUUGAGCCCGACGCCACUUCCUUACCUCUGUCUCCACACCCUUUACCCCAGAGCUGUGAGCCACCACCGCCGCUCCUCCCCGCUGCACACCGCGAGCUCGACUCCUUUGUGCCCUAGAAUCUCCGUCGCCUCCUCCCGAUUUCCUUUCCCCCUCCUCUUGUCCGACGAGCCAGCGCCGACCAUUGCUGGAGGUUACUUGCUUCCUGUUCCCGAGCCGCCAGCCACCGAGCGCCCCCCAAUUUCCGCCACCGUGCCCUAGCUAGUAGUCGGUGUCGCACGGAGCAGCGCCACCCCUCACCGUGCCGCCAUAAUGAACCCUGGGCUGAUUUCUACAGCCAACACCCUCUCCACAGUCCUCUGCCAUUGUUGACCUAGGGUUCCGGCGGCCAGUAUUGAGAUUAGGCAACGAGGUGUUUUCCAUAUCAGAGCUUGGAUCUUCUCCUCUGUUCUUGAUCAUUUCCUUCCUUGCGGUGGAUUUAGGUCACGGUUGAGCAAAGCUUUAAACUCCAGUAGUAAAGCUUUAAUCAGUAGCUGCUCAUACUCGGUCAAGCGACAAUGAUCCUUGCUAUUGAGCCACAACGACUGGGGUUGAGGACUUUGACGCGAGACGAGUAUCUCGACGUCAGACUUGGACCAGAUUGGAUCCUUUCUUA
This is a long non-coding RNA of Zingiber officinale, 767 nucleotides long. RefSeq lists it as uncharacterized. The record is from RefSeq and is a predicted model, not a curated record. Lineage: Eukaryota; Viridiplantae; Streptophyta; Magnoliopsida; Zingiberales; Zingiberaceae. The transcript has 4 exons.